CAUUCGCAAGUUUGAGGAAGACCUAGUGGCGAACGGGUGCGUAACACGUGAGGAACCUAUCCCAGUCUCUGGAAUAACAGGUGGAAACACCUGCUAAUACCGGAUGCCGUUGGACCAUCGCAUGGUGGACCAACGAAAGAUUUAUCGGAGUGGGAGGGCCUCGCGGCCUAUCAGCUUGUUGGUGAGGUAACGGCUCACCAAGGCGUCGACGGGUAGCUGGUCUGAGAGGAUGAUCAGCCACACUGGGACUGAGACACGGCCCAGACUCCUACGGGAGGCAGCAGUGGGGAAUCUUGCACAAUGGGCGAAAGCCUGAUGCAGCAACGCCGCGUGCGGGAAGAAGGCCCUAGGGUUGUAAACCGCUUUCAGCAGGGAAGAAAAUGACGGUACCUGUAGAAGAAGGUGCGGCCAACUACGUGCCAGCAGCCGCGGUGACACGUAGGCACCAAGCGUUGUCCGGAUUUAUUGGGCGUAAAGAGCUCGUAGGCGGUUCGGUAAGUCGGGUGUGAAAACUCUGGGCUCAACCCAGAGACGCCACCCGAUACUGCUGUGACUAGAGUGCGGUAGGGGAGCGGGGAAUUCCUGGUGUAGCGGUGAAAUGCGCAGAUAUCAGGAGGAACACCAGUGGCGAAGGCGCCGCUCUGGGCCGUGACUGACGCUGAGGAGCGAAAGCGUGGGUAGCAAACAGGAUUAGA
Molecule: ribosomal RNA, 695 nt
Filed under: uncultured Actinomycetes bacterium
Lineage: Bacteria; Bacillati; Actinomycetota; Actinomycetes
Description: bacterial SSU rRNA
Rfam family: Bacterial small subunit ribosomal RNA
Source: RNAcentral